This 507-nucleotide long non-coding RNA is filed under the name Equus asinus (donkey). RNAcentral's name for it is "lncRNA (ENSEASG00005029298.1)". The record is from RNAcentral. Lineage: Eukaryota; Metazoa; Chordata; Mammalia; Perissodactyla; Equidae.
GUUGGACUAAGAGCCUGAGUUCUUUGCUAGCUGUCAGCCAGAGGCCUCCCUUGGCAUGCGAACCUCUCCAUAGGGCAGCUGACAACAUAGCAGCCGGCUUCCUUCAAGCUUCUUGCCACUUGUGAUGUGGAGGAGAUGUUGAGAGCCAGAGAAGCUAUCCUGUGCCCAGAGAGGAAGCGUGAGCUAAGAUGGCACAACCAUGCUGUGGGCCUGGGCUGACGCCUCAGGACUCUAAUGUGGGACAGAAAUCUCUACCUAUUCUACUCUGCGGUCUCUUUGUCACAGAGGCUUAAACACUAUUCUAAACAUAACUCAUCCUUCAAGAUUUGAGCCUUUAUAAGGAUGGAAGACACACACAAAGGAAACAACAUGUGAAGACGGAGAGAGAAAAGAGCCAUCUACAAGUAAAGGAGAGAGGCCUCAGAAGAAACCAACCCUGUCGACGCCUUGAUUUUGAACUUCUAGGCUUCAGAAUUGUGAGAAAAUAAAAUGCUAUUGUUUAAGCUA